GUAGUCUCGCACAGAUGCAUAUCAAUAAGCGGAGGAAAAGGAAACUAACAAGGAUUCCCCUAGUAACGGCGAGUGAAGCGGGAAGAGCUCAAAUUUGAAAUCUUAAAGGGUUUCCCUUUACGAAUUGUAGUUUAAAGAAGUGUUUUCUGUUGAGGUUUUGGUAAAAGUUCUUUGGAACUAGGACAUCAUAGAGGGGUGAGAAUCCCGUAUUUGACCUUUACUUUCAACUUUGUGAUACACUUUCAAAGAGUCGGAUUGUUUGGGAAUGCAGUCCAAAAUGGGUGGUAAAUUUCAUCUAAAGCUAAAUAUUGGCGAGAGACCGAUAGCGAACAAGUACCGUGAGGGAAAGAUGAAAAGAACUUUGAAAAGAGAGUUAAACAGUACGUGAAAUUGUCAAAAGGGAAGCGUUUGACACCAGUGUUGUUUUUCUGAAAAUCAAUUAAAGAACUGUUUAUGCUAAGCUGUUUAGACUUUAUCAGCUAUCUGCUUAGUUUUGAGCUUUUCUUUAAUGCACUUUUCAGUUAACAAGUCAACAUCAAUUUCUUUUGCUGUAAAAAAGCUUGAGGAAGGUGGCUUGAGAUUCGUCUUAAGUGUUUAUAGCCAUCUUGCCUAUGCAGUCGGAGAGAUUGAGGUCUGCAGCGUAGAUCCUUCGGGGCUAAAUGCAUUUGUGCUAAGUUAUAGCAUUUUAUAGACAACUUGUUGACUAUGAUUUGUCUUGUAGCUUACUCGCUUAUGUUAUUUUACCUAGCGCUUAGGAUGUUGACAGCAGUAUAGACUGU
Molecule: ribosomal RNA, 779 nt
Filed under: uncultured Neocallimastigales
Lineage: Eukaryota; Fungi; Neocallimastigomycota; Neocallimastigomycetes; Neocallimastigales
Description: partial large subunit ribosomal RNA
Rfam family: Eukaryotic large subunit ribosomal RNA
Source: RNAcentral